GAUGAACGCUGGCGGCGUGCUUAACACAUGCAAGUCGAACGGAAAGGCUCCUGCUUGCAGGGGUACUCGAGUGGCGAACGGGUGGGUAACACGUGGGUGAUCUGCCCUGCACUUCGGGAUAAGCUUGGGAAACUGGGUCUAAUACCGGAUAGGACCGCAUUUUGGAUGGUGUGGUGGAAAGUUUUUUCGGUGUGGGAUGAGCUCGCGGCCUAUCAGCUUGUUGGUGGGGUAAUGGCCUACCAAGGCGUCGACGGGUAGCCGGCCUGAGAGGGUGUACGGCCACAUUGGGACUGAGAUACGGCCCAGACUCCUACGGGAGGCAGCAGUGGGGAAUAUUGCACAAUGGGCGCAAGCCUGAUGCAGCGACGCCGCGUGGGGGAUGACGGCCUUCGGGUUGUAAACUCCUUUCGCUAGGGACGAAGAGUAAUUGACGGUACCUGGAGAAGAAGCACCGGCUAACUACGUG
This 466-nucleotide ribosomal RNA is filed under the name uncultured bacterium. RNAcentral's name for it is "partial 16S ribosomal RNA". It matches the Rfam family "Bacterial small subunit ribosomal RNA", at positions 28 to 507 of the family's 1533-position model. The record is from RNAcentral.